CGCAUCUGUGCAUGCAGUAUAUCAAUAAGCGGAGGAAAAGAAACUAACAAGGAUUCCCCUAGUAACGGCGAGUGAAGCGGGAAGAGCUCAAAUUUGAAAUCUUAAAGGGUUUCCCUUCACGAAUUGUAGUUUAAAGAAGUGUUUUCUGUUGAGGUUUUGGUAAAAGUUCUUUGGAAUAGGACAUCAUAGAGGGUGAGAAUCCCGUAUUUGACCUUUACUUUCAACUUUGUGAUACACUUUCAAAGAGUCGGAUUGUUUGGGAAUGCAGUCCAAAAUGGGUGGUAAAUUUCAUCUAAAGCUAAAUAUUGGCGAGAGACCGAUAGCGAACAAGUACCGUGAGGGAAAGAUGAAAAGAACUUUGAAAAGAGAGUUAAACAGUACGUGAAAUUGUCAAAAGGGAAGCGUUUGACACCAGUGUUGUUUUUCUGAAAAUCAAUUAAAGAACUGUUUAUGCUAAGCUGUUUAGACUUUAUCAGCUAACUGUUUAGUUUUGAGCUUUUCUUUAAUGCACUUUUCAGUUAACAAGUCAACAUCAAUUUCUUUUGCUGUAAAAAAGCUUGAGGAAGGUGACUUGAGAUUCGUCUUAAGUGUUUAUAGCCUCUUGCCUAUGCAGUCGGAGAGAUUGAGGUCUGCAGCGUAGAUCCUUCGGGGCUAAAUGCAUUUGUGCUAAGUUAUAGCAUUUUAUAGACAACUUGUUGACUAUGAUUUGUCUUGUAGCUUACUCGCUUAUGUUAUUUUACCUACGCUUAGGAUGUUGACAGCAGUAUAGACUGU
This 774-nucleotide ribosomal RNA is filed under the name uncultured Neocallimastigales. RNAcentral's name for it is "partial large subunit ribosomal RNA". It matches the Rfam family "Eukaryotic large subunit ribosomal RNA", at positions 26 to 637 of the family's 3401-position model. Lineage: Eukaryota; Fungi; Neocallimastigomycota; Neocallimastigomycetes; Neocallimastigales. The record is from RNAcentral.